CAGCCGCCACGGUAAUACGUAGGGUGCGAGCGUUAAUCGGAAUUACUGGGCGUAAAGCGUGCGCAGGCGGUUUUGUAAGACAGGCGUGAAAUCCCCGGGCUCAACCUGGGAAUGGCGCUUGUGACUGCAAAGCUAGAGUGCGGCAGAGGGGGAUGGAAUUCCGCGUGUAGCAGUGAAAUGCGUAGAUAUGCGGAGGAACACCGAUGGCGAAGGCAAUCCCCUGGGCCUGCACUGACGCUCAUGCACGAAAGCGUGGGGAGCAAACAGGAUUAGAGACCCGAGUAGUCCCUGUCUCUUAUAC
RNAcentral lists this ribosomal RNA (301 nucleotides) under uncultured bacterium. RNAcentral's name for it is "partial 16S ribosomal RNA". It matches the Rfam family "Bacterial small subunit ribosomal RNA", at positions 509 to 807 of the family's 1533-position model. The record is from RNAcentral.